RNAcentral lists this long non-coding RNA (1372 nucleotides) under Sus scrofa (pig). RNAcentral describes it as "lncRNA (ENSSSCG00050038999.1)". Lineage: Eukaryota; Metazoa; Chordata; Mammalia; Artiodactyla; Suidae. The record is from RNAcentral.
GCGGAGCUGGCCCCCUGCCUCCGGAUGAAGCAGAAGGGCACCAGUGUGCCCAAAGGGCUGGACUUGGAGGAGCAGGAUCAGUGAGUGGCGGGCUGAGGGGGGCGGUGGGCCAGGGGUGCUGCUGCUGGGCCUGCCUGCCUGCCCUGCCUGGGUCAGCAGUGCGCUCGAGAGGCCUGGCCUAGCUGUGGGCAGUGGGCUCAAGCCAGGUCAGGGGUGGCCAGUGAAGAUUGCAGGGCAUGCUCGUGGAGUCAGCGCGGGGCUGCAUGUCCCCUGCGGGCAGUUGUUGCAGGGGGUGUCGAAGCCGUGGCCACUGUUAAGCUGGAUUGCUGCCCCCCAGCCCUUUCAUGCUGACCCUCCUUGGGGGCUUGGCUCUGCCCCGUGCUGCUGUUCCAGUGCAGUCUCUGCGUGCCCGGGUGCCCUAGUAUCCCCGUGCGCAUCCUGGCUGCGCCUGCGCAUAACCCUGGGACCGAGGGGGUUGGGGGGGAGGCGCACCCCCUGGGCUCACUGUCCUCCCGGCUCAGGCCUGCCCCCUAGGAUCCUACCCCCCAAGAGCCGACGUUUCCUGUGUUGGGAGAAACCCUCCCCACCCCCACGCCAUGGUGAGGGUCCCCGCCUGGAACCUCGUGUCCCUCCCAGUUAGGAGGGCCAGCACCUGGGUGGCUUCUAGGGCGAGAGACAUGUUUCAUGCUCCGGUGGCUCCAGGCUGGAGACGCGUGGCCGGGGACUCCAGGUCUCUGUCCGUGUCUGAGCGUCUGCCACAUGCCGCCGCCCAGGGCUCUGAUGGCAGCUCUGAUGACUGCCCGCGUGGCUCCCCCGCAGGAUUCCCUUCUUCAAGUUCUGCUGCCAGUGCGGCCGCUCCGUCGGGGUGCGCCUCUCGCCCUGCGCCCGCUGCUACGGGAUCCUGACCUGCAGCAAGUACUGCAAGAACAGAGCCUGGAGCGACUUCCACAAGAGGGACUGCGGCUCCCUGAUGGCCAUUGGGAAAACACACUUGAUGCCGUCCAUCAAGAAACCCUUGAGGCGUCUGGGCAAUGAGCCCCAGAAGCCUGAGACCCUGCAGCUGCUUCGUCAGUCAAGGAGGCGCAGGGCCAGCAGGUCCGGGACCACCCAGGACUGCGGGUGAGCAUGCAGUUGCUGCUCGGCAGGCAUGCGGGGAGCCUGUGCUGCCCCCAGGCCCGAGGGGAGCCGCAGCCCUGCAGGACACCCCUCCGUGGAGCUGCACUGUCCCCCCGCCCCCACCCCGCCUAUGCUGGGGUCCCAGCCCCUGGGCCCUCAGCACUCCAAGCCCUGGGUGACCGACAGGCACUGCUGAAUAUUUGCUGGCAGACCAGUGCUGGCUGCAACCCCAAAUAAAGUGACCCUCAGUGGCUCA